This 301-nucleotide ribosomal RNA is filed under the name uncultured bacterium. Its description in RNAcentral is "partial 16S ribosomal RNA". It matches the Rfam family "Bacterial small subunit ribosomal RNA", at positions 509 to 807 of the family's 1533-position model. The record is from RNAcentral.
CAGCAGCCGCGGUAACACGGAGGGGGCUAGCGUUGUUCGGAAUUACUGGGCGUAAAGCGCACGUAGGCGGCUUUGUAAGUUAGAGGUGAAAGCCCGGAGCUCAACUCCGGAAUUGCCUUUAAGACUGCAGAGCUAGCAGGUGAGAGAGGUGAGUGGAAUUCCGAGUGUAGAGGUGAAAUUCGUAGAUAUUCGGGAGAACACCAGUGGCGAAGGCGGCUUACUGGCUCAUACUGGACGCUGAGGUGCGAAAGCGUGGGGAGCAAACAGGAUUAGAUACCCCAGUAGUCCCUGUCUCUUAUAC